This is a long non-coding RNA of Pogoniulus pusillus (Red-fronted tinkerbird), 695 nucleotides long. RefSeq lists it as uncharacterized. NCBI's taxonomy places the organism in Eukaryota, Metazoa, Chordata, Aves, Piciformes, Lybiidae. The record is from RefSeq and is a predicted model, not a curated record. The transcript is spliced from 2 exons.
GCGCCGCACGCUCAGAGCCGGCGCUGAGGCCGCCGGGCGCAGGCCGGGGGAGGGGCUCGGCCUGCGCCGACCAGGCUCCGGCAUGGCGCGGCCCGCGCGCCGGCUGCCUCCCGCCCUCGCGAGACUUGGCGCCAGCGGGGUGGGGGUUUGAACGCGCGCGGUAAGGAGCGGUGGAGGUCGAGGCGGUGCGGAGGGGACGUCUGGCCGUGGGUUCCCUCCGUGUUCCUCCGCCCGUGUUCCUCCCGACCCAUCUUCUUACCGCGAGUUUUUCCUGAGUGUCUUUAAAUAAAGGUUUCUCGGCGCCGCUUUCGGUUCGUCGGUGGCCGCUUGGCCUGGCUGCCGGGCGCUGGGGGUCUGUGAGGGCGCCGCCAGCUGUGUACGUCGCACGGGCAGAGUGGCAGAGGGGAGGCGAGGACAGACUUCAGGCAGAUGCGAUGAAACAGAUUGGUUCAACAUGGACUUUUCACUGACGUCAGCAGAGGCUGAAACCUUCUGUUGAGGGAGAACCUUGCAGAUGGCUCAGUGGGUGUGCGAUGAUUUGGGUUUUUUUGUCCACAGACCGGAUCAUAGUAGAUUACAUUCUGCUUCGGGGCUUUUGUCAGCCGGUCUGAAACAUCGCCUGACAAAUGAGAAAGGCUGUGAAUUGUGUUUUUCGUUUCUUUUUGUGUUCAAAUAUAUAUUUGUUUGUUUAGCUA